RNAcentral lists this transfer RNA (76 nucleotides) under Euryarchaeota archaeon TMED192. Its description in RNAcentral is "tRNA-Gln". It matches the Rfam family "tRNA". Rfam says of the family: Transfer RNA (tRNA) molecules are approximately 80 nucleotides in length. Their secondary structure includes four short double-helical elements and three loops (D, anti-codon, and T loops). RNAcentral also lists the same sequence under 4 other names. Lineage: Archaea; Methanobacteriati; Methanobacteriota. The record is from RNAcentral.
AGUCCCGUAGUGUAGUGGUCCAUCAUAUGGCACUCUGGAUGCCAUGACCCUGGUUCGAAUCCGGGCGGGACUACCA